AGGGUGUUCAAGCCAGGCUGGACCUGACAUG
RNAcentral lists this non-coding RNA (31 nucleotides) under Rattus norvegicus (Norway rat). The record is from RNAcentral. Lineage: Eukaryota; Metazoa; Chordata; Mammalia; Rodentia; Muridae.